UGGUGUAGCUCAACUGGCAGAGCAGCUGAUUUGUAAUCAGCAGGUUGUGGGUUCGAUUCCAAUCACC
Molecule: transfer RNA, 67 nt
Filed under: Candidatus Borkfalkia ceftriaxoniphila
Lineage: Bacteria; Bacillati; Bacillota; Clostridia; Christensenellales; Christensenellaceae
Also listed under: 3 other names
Rfam family: tRNA
About the family: Transfer RNA (tRNA) molecules are approximately 80 nucleotides in length. Their secondary structure includes four short double-helical elements and three loops (D, anti-codon, and T loops).
Source: RNAcentral